GGUUUUAUGGUGUAAUGGUUGUUAGUAGCCUUAAAAGUCUUUUAAAAUGCAUUCGUUUAUUAAUUCUAAAUUCAGAGCACAUGAGAUUUUGAUUCUCGGGAUCUGGGUUCGAUUCCCAGUAAGACCU
Bisporella sp. PMI_857 is the source of this 127-nucleotide non-coding RNA. The record is from the annotation of a GenBank genome assembly. NCBI's taxonomy places the organism in Eukaryota, Fungi, Ascomycota, Leotiomycetes, Helotiales, Helotiaceae.